AAAAAAUACAAAUAAAUNNUUUAGAUGUAAUUAAAUUAAUUAAAUAAAAAAUAAAUAUAAAUUUGUUAGGUGAAAUUUUAAAUUUAAAUAUUUUUUAUAUUUACAAAAUUGAAGUUAAAAAAUUUUUAAAAUAAACUAGGAUUUGAUACCCUAUUAUUAAAAGCAUGUUUAAAAAAUUUAAAGUAGUAAUAGUUAAAGACUUGAAACUUAAAGAAUUUGGCGGUAUUUUAAUCUAUUCAGAGGAACCUGUUUUAUAAUCGAUAGUCCUCGUUUUACUUUACUUAGUUUUGUUUUCAACAUGUAUACCGCUGUCAUCAGAAUGUCUUAUAAGAGAAAAAAUUUUCUAUAAACUAAAUUAAGUUAUAUGUCAAGUCAAGGUGCAGUUUAUGAUUAAGUAAAAAUGGGUUACAAUAAAUUUAUUUAUAUGAACAAUUAAUUGUAAAAUUAAUUAGAAAGUGGAUUUGAUAGUAAAUUAAUUUUAUAAUAAUUAAUUGAUUUUAGCUCUAAAAUAUGUACACAUCGCCCGUCGCUCUCGUUAUUAAAGUGAGAU
This 550-nucleotide ribosomal RNA is filed under the name Edwardsina gigantea. RNAcentral describes it as "partial 12S ribosomal RNA". Lineage: Eukaryota; Metazoa; Arthropoda; Insecta; Diptera; Blephariceridae. The record is from RNAcentral.